GGGCCGUUGGUCUAGCGGUAUGACGCCACCCUCACACGGUGGAGAUCGCAAGUUCGAAAGCUUCGAGAAUCUUGCACGGCCCACCA
The sequence is a transfer RNA, 86 nucleotides long. It matches the Rfam family "tRNA". From Rfam's summary of the family: Transfer RNA (tRNA) molecules are approximately 80 nucleotides in length.